GGUUUUGACGUUGUGAUUGGUAUAUCCGGAUUGCGAGUCCGAGAGCUGUUCUCGGUUAUCAACGGGCAAACUAAAUUAAAUGACAACAAAGUUGUUGACAUGAACGCUUACAGAAUGGCAAAAGCUGCCUAGUCACUAAGUGACUGCGUUCCAUUCACCCUGACCAGCUUGCCGUUAGGAAUUGAAUGACCGUAUGCAAGAUGCAGUACGCAAACGAUGGUAUGCGUAUCAAGACUAACCAUUGGAGGUUAGACUUCCGUAAAAAGUCUUUGACUUAGCCCAGGUUUUGCAACUUUCCUUGUUAAGUCGAGAUAAUAAGUUACUACACUCGUAGACGUCAGUUUGUAUCCGCAUCGGACGCGGGUUCGACUCCCGCCAUCUCCA
RNAcentral lists this transfer-messenger RNA (384 nucleotides) under bovine gut metagenome. It matches the Rfam family "transfer-messenger RNA". Rfam says of the family: Bacterial tmRNA, also known as 10Sa RNA or SsrA, is named for its dual tRNA and mRNA-like properties. The record is from RNAcentral.